GCCGGAGUGGCGGAACCGGUAGACGCGCGGGACUUAAAAUCCUGUGGGGCCUCGCCCCAUGUGGGUUCGACCCCCACCUCCGGCA
This 85-nucleotide transfer RNA is filed under the name Armatimonadota bacterium. RNAcentral's name for it is "tRNA-Leu". It matches the Rfam family "tRNA". Rfam says of the family: Transfer RNA (tRNA) molecules are approximately 80 nucleotides in length. Their secondary structure includes four short double-helical elements and three loops (D, anti-codon, and T loops). Lineage: Bacteria; Bacillati; Armatimonadota. The record is from RNAcentral.